CCUCCUGUAGCUCAGUGGUAGAGCGUCUGACCGGUAUGCGGAAGGUCAUAGGUUCAACUCCUUGUUGGGAGGA
This 73-nucleotide transfer RNA is filed under the name Desmophyllum pertusum. RNAcentral describes it as "tRNA-Thr". It matches the Rfam family "tRNA". From Rfam's summary of the family: Transfer RNA (tRNA) molecules are approximately 80 nucleotides in length. Their secondary structure includes four short double-helical elements and three loops (D, anti-codon, and T loops). The record is from RNAcentral. Lineage: Eukaryota; Metazoa; Cnidaria; Anthozoa; Scleractinia; Caryophylliidae.